Molecule: ribosomal RNA, 250 nt
Filed under: uncultured bacterium
Lineage: Bacteria
Description: partial 16S ribosomal RNA
Rfam family: Bacterial small subunit ribosomal RNA
Source: RNAcentral
UACGUAGGACCCAAGCGUUAUCCGGAGUGACUGGGCGUAAAGAGUUGCGUAGGCGGUCUUUUAAGCGAGUAGUGAAAUCUGGUGGCUCAACCAUACAGACUAUUACUCGAACUGGGAGACUUGAGAAUGGUAGAGGUAGUUGGAAUUUCUUGUGUAGGAGUGAAAUCCGUAGAUAUAAGAAGGAACACCAAUGGCGUAGGCAGACUACUGGACCAUUUCUGACGCUGAGGCACGAAAGCGUGGGGAGCGA